RNAcentral lists this transfer RNA (72 nucleotides) under Ovis aries (sheep). It matches the Rfam family "tRNA". From Rfam's summary of the family: Transfer RNA (tRNA) molecules are approximately 80 nucleotides in length. The record is from Rfam by way of RNAcentral. Lineage: Eukaryota; Metazoa; Chordata; Mammalia; Artiodactyla; Bovidae.
UCCCUGGUGGCUCAGAUGGUAAAGCAUCUGCUCGCAGUGCGGGAGACCCAGGUUCAAUCCCUGGAUUGGGAA